This 460-nucleotide ribosomal RNA is filed under the name uncultured bacterium. Its description in RNAcentral is "partial 16S ribosomal RNA". It matches the Rfam family "Bacterial small subunit ribosomal RNA", at positions 338 to 795 of the family's 1533-position model. The record is from RNAcentral.
CCUACGGGAGGCUGCAGUGAGGAAUAUUGGUCAAUGGACGAGAGUCUGAACCAGCCAAGUAGCGUGAAGGAUGACUGCCCUAUGGGUUGUAAACUUCUUUUAUAUGGGAAUAAAAUGUUCCACGUGUGGCAUUUUGUAUGUACCAUAUGAAUAAGGAUCGGCUAACUCCGUGCCAGCAGCCGCGGUAAUACGGAGGAUCCGGGCGUUAUCCGGAUUUAUUGGGUUUAAAGGGAGCGUAGGCGGAUUGUUAAGUCAGUUGUGAAAGUUUGCGGCUCAACCGUAACAUUGCAGUUGAAACUGGCGGGCUUGAGUACGGCAGAGGUAGGCGGAAUUCGUGGUGUAGCGGUGAAAUGCUUAGAUAUCACGAAGAACUCCGAUUGCGAAGGCAGUUCACUGGACUGCAACUGACGCUGAGGCUCGAAAGUGUGGGUAUCGAACAGGAUUAGAUACCCGAGUAGUC